AGCAACAAAAAAUAACGGAAACCAAGAAAGCCGCCUCUCCUUGUCCGUGUCAUCGCUUGCCUUCCCAUCUGGGAGAAUUUUUCUUUCCUGCUUCUUUACAAUAUUUCGCUAUUAUUAACGCCAGCGCCUAAUCCUGGAGCGCUCGAAACUGCCUUGAAGAGCGGAAGAUAAAAAAACGCUUAGUUUUACAACGAUUAGAAAUUUUACAAAAAAAAAAAAAAA
Molecule: non-coding RNA, 222 nt
Filed under: Protocruzia adhaerens
Lineage: Eukaryota; Ciliophora; Spirotrichea
Source: RNAcentral